AAAAGUUUUAUUUUAGCUUAAGAUUUUUUAUUUUUUCCUUUAUUUUCAUGUGAAUUUUAUUUUAAAAAAUAUUUGUCUGCAGUAAUUAGUAUUAUAAAUUUAGGAAAUUAAGAUUUAGAAAUGGAUUUUUGUUCUGACCUAUUUUGUGCCAGCAGUCGCGGUUAAACAAAUAGAGCUAAUGAAAAUUUUUGGUUUGUAGUUUGUGAUUUUUAUAGUUUAUUAUUAAUAUUUUUAGGUGAAAUUUAAAUUUUAAUGUAUUUAUUUUUUUUUCAUGAUUCUACUAAAUUAAUAUUUAGACUAGGAUUAGAUACCCUAUUAUUAAUAAUGUAAAUUUAUAUCCUGGUUAGUAUUAGUUAUUUUCUUGAAAACAAAAAAAUUUGGCGGUAUUUUAGUCUAUUCAGAGGAACCUGUCCUUUAAUUGAUAAUCCACGAUUAAUUCUACUUAAUUUUAUAGUUUGUAUAUCGUCGUGGUUGAUUAUUUUAUAAGAAAUAAUAAUCAUUUUUCUUUUUAGGAAUAAAUUCAGAUCAAGAUGCAUUUAUAAUUGAGAUUGAGAUGGGUUACAAUAAAUUUAUUUUAUGGUUUAAAUUUUAAAAUUUUUAUUAAAUUGGAUUUGAAAGUAAUUUUUAAUUAUAUUUUAAAAAUGAUUUAGCUCUAAAAUAUGUACAUAUCGCCCGUCACUUCCAGGGAUGGAAUAAGUCGUAACAAAGUAGGUGUACUGGAAAGUGUCCCUAGAAAGAAC
RNAcentral lists this non-coding RNA (740 nucleotides) under Agrilinae sp. 2 ACP-2013. The record is from RNAcentral. Lineage: Eukaryota; Metazoa; Arthropoda; Insecta; Coleoptera; Buprestidae.